Molecule: ribosomal RNA, 337 nt
Filed under: uncultured Pseudomonadota bacterium
Lineage: Bacteria; Pseudomonadati; Pseudomonadota
Description: bacterial SSU rRNA
Rfam family: Bacterial small subunit ribosomal RNA
Source: RNAcentral
AACGAACGUUAGCGGCGUGCCUAACACAUGCAAGUCGCACGAGAAAGGGCUUCGGCCCCGGUACAGUGGCGCACGGGUGAGUAACACGUAGGUAACCUACCCUCGAGUGGGGGAUAACCCUCCGAAAGGAGAGCUAAUACCGCAUGAGACCACGGCUCCCUCGGGAGCUGAGGUCAAAGCGGGCCUCUGCUUGCAAGCUCGCGCUUGAGGAUGGGCCUGCGGCCUAUCAGCUAGUUGGUGGGGUAAAAGCCCACCAAGGCAGAGACGGGUAGCUGGUCUGAGAGGAUGAACAGCCACACUGGAACUGAGACACGGUCCAGACUCCUACGGGAGGCAG